RNAcentral lists this ribosomal RNA (1396 nucleotides) under uncultured bacterium. RNAcentral describes it as "16S ribosomal RNA". It matches the Rfam family "Bacterial small subunit ribosomal RNA". The record is from RNAcentral.
UUAGAGUUUGAUCCUGGCUCAGGAUGAAACGCUGGCGGCAGGCUUAACACAUGCAAGUCGAGGGGCAGCGGGGAGUAGCAAUACUCUGCCGGCGACCGGCAAAAGGGUGCGUAACGCGUGAGCAACUUGCCCGUAUCUGGGGGAUAACCGAUGGAAACGUCGCCUAAUACCCCGUAACAAGGAGAUCCGCAUGGAUUUCCUUUGAUAGCUCCGGCGGAUACGGAUGGGCUCGCGUGACAUUAGCUAGAUGGUGGGGUAACGGCCCACCAUGGCGACGAUGUCUAGGGGUUCUGAGAGGAAGAUCCCCCACACUGGAACUGAGACACGGUCCAGACUCCUACGGGAGGCAGCAGUGAGGAAUAUUGGACAAUGGAGGCAACUCUGAUCCAGCCAUGCCGCGUGAGGGACUAAGGCCCUAUGGGUCGUAAACUUCUUUUGACGCAGGGCAAUAAGGUCUACGUGUAGAUCGAUGAGAGUAUGCGUCGAAUAAGCAUCGGCUAACUCCGUGCCAGCAGCCGCGGUAAUACGGAGGAUGCAAGCGUUAUCCGGAUUUAUUGGGUUUAAAGGGUGCGUAGGCGGAUGAUUAAGUCAGUGGUGAAAGGUCCCGGCUCAACCGGGGAGCUGCCAUUGAUACUGGUUGUCUUGAAUGCGGAUGCCGUGGGAGGAAUGUGUGGUGUAGCGGUGAAAUGCAUAGAUAUCACACAGAACACCGAUUGCGAAGGCAUCUCACGAAUCCGUUAUUGACGCUGAGGCACGAAAGCGUGGGGAUCAAACAGGAUUAGAUACCCUGGUAGUCCACGCAGUAAACGAUGAUGACUAACCGCCGGCGAUACACAGUCGGUGGCCAAGCGAAAGCGAUAAGUCAUCCACCUGGGGAGUACGACCGCAAGGUUGAAACUCAAAGGAAUUGACGGGGGCCCGCACAAGCGGAGGAACAUGUGGUUUAAUUCGAUGAUACGCGAGGAACCUUACCCGGGCUCGAACGGCUAGUGAACGACACAGAGAUGUGAAAGUCCUUCGGGACACUAGUCGAGGUGCUGCAUGGUUGUCGUCAGCUCGUGCCGUGAGGUGUCGGCUCAAGUGCCAUAACGAGCGCAACCCUUGUCGUCAGUUACCAGCACGUAAAGGUGGGGACUCUGGCGAGACUGCCACCGCAAGGUGUGAGGAAGGGGGGGAUGACGUCAAAUCAGCACGGCCCUUACGUCCGGGGCGACACACGUGUUACAAUGGUGGGUACAGAGGGGUGCUACCUGGUGACAGGAUGCUGAUCUCGAAAACCCAUCUCAGUUCGGAUUGGAGUCUGCAACUCGACUCCAUGAAGUUGGAUUCGCUAGUAAUCGCGCAUCAGCCAUGGCGCGGUGAAUACGUUCCCGGGCCUUGCACACACCGCCCGUCA